Molecule: long non-coding RNA, 832 nt
Filed under: Cavia porcellus (domestic guinea pig)
Lineage: Eukaryota; Metazoa; Chordata; Mammalia; Rodentia; Caviidae
Description: lncRNA (ENSCPOG00000030259.1)
Source: RNAcentral
CAGGCCGUGAGGUGCCCUGCAGGACUGUGCCCUGAACCAGCUCAUAGAGGCCGCCCUCUCAGCCACACAGAUGCACAGCUGCUGUGCUGCCUUGGCUCUAGGUCUCAAUCUGAUGCACUGGGUUACAGCGGGCCGUGUGGGAGGCCUCCGGUGCCCACCUCUGAGGCCCGGCACACAGGAGCAGACUGCUGCUGGCUCUGCCCCCAGGAAAGUGACCAAGGUCUCAAGCAAAUGCUCCACUGUGAGGUCAUCUCAAGAUCUCCGACUCUGCUACCUCACUAGGAUCUCUUCUCCAAAUGAAGUCAUUUCCAGCCAUUCAGGACGCAGAGUGCACUUGAGCUAAGUGUCUGGAAGAGGGUUUAGUGAGACACAAAUAAUUCGCAGUGUCUGACUCUGGAAAUCACAUGAGCAGCUGCGGCAGAACCAGACGGGAGAAGGCAGGCGAAUUCCUCACAAAGGUCUUCGUGAUUUAUUUGACUUUUGAACAAAACCCAUUGUGUAUUCUACCAAGUCUCAUCUUUAUUUUUGUGAGUACAGCACAGACUUCACAUAAAUCACAGUGAAUCCUGGUUUGUGUGCUGAUUUUGCAGUGCCAAUAAACCUUAUAUUAACAGGAUUUUGAUGGUCCGGAGAGCUACAUUUAUUUUAUGGCUUUAAGCAAACAAAAUCCUGGAGGCAGAUACUGUGCAGACGCUUCUCUCUCUGAGCAGAGGGCUACUUCUUGCCCCUGCAUUCUUGCUCAUCCCCAGGACCCUAGUCCCAGCACCUGAACCCAGCAUGCCCUCGAAGGUUUGUUGAAUGACUAACCUGUAAGAAAUGCAUGUGAAAAGGG